This 957-nucleotide long non-coding RNA is filed under the name Gossypium raimondii (Peruvian cotton). Its description in RNAcentral is "long non-coding RNA (GRAI_LNC000158)". Lineage: Eukaryota; Viridiplantae; Streptophyta; Magnoliopsida; Malvales; Malvaceae. The record is from RNAcentral.
UAGGCUGCCCUGAAUGUUACCACCACCCAUCUCCGCCGCCGAAAUGUCCUCCGCCACACUAUCCGCCUAAACAUCAUCAUCCUCCCAUUGUUAAGCCACCCUAUCACCCUAAACCACCAAAACAUCAUCCUCCAAAGCCACCUAAGCCUCCCGCGGUAAACCCACCAUAUCACCCUAAACCACCGAAGCCACCGGUGGUGAAGCCACCGGUGGUGAAGCCACCGUAUCACCCUAAACCACCUAAGCCUCCGGUGGUGAAACCCCCAUAUCACCCUAAGCCACCAAAACAUCCCCCGCAUCCUCCCAAGCCACCUGUUGUAAAGCCUCCCUAUGUACCUAAGCCACCUAUUGUAAAGCCUCCACCGUAUACACCCAAACCACCGGUUGUGAAGCCUCCGCCAUAUACACCCAAACCGCCGGUUGUGAAGCCUCCGCCAUAUACACCCAAACCGCCGGUUGUGAAGCCUCCGCCAUAUACACCCAAACCGCCGGUUGUGAAGCCUCCGCCAUAUGCACCCAAACCGCCGGUUGUGAAGCCUCCGCCAUAUGCACCCAAACCGCCGGUUGUGAAGCCUCCGCCAUAUGCACCCAAACCGCCGGUUGUGAAGCCUCCACCAUAUACACCCAAGCCACCUUACUAUCCAAUACCGCCGGUCAUAUCACCACCAACACUGCCUCCAAAGCCACCAGUCUACCCCAGUCCACCAAUAGUGAACCCUCCACCAUAUACACCCAAACCGCCGGUUGUGAAGCCUCCGCCAUAUACACCCAAGCCACCUUACUAUCCAAUACCGCCGGUCAUAUCACCACCAACACUGCCUCCAAAGCCACCAGUCUACCCCAGUCCACCAAUAGUGAACCCACCAACACCGCCGAUUCUGCCACCUCCUAUUGUGAAUCCACCAACACCGCCGAUUCUACCACCACCAUCACCACCUAUUGUGAACCCACCAACGC